This is a long non-coding RNA of Meriones unguiculatus (Mongolian gerbil), 807 nucleotides long. RefSeq lists it as uncharacterized. Lineage: Eukaryota; Metazoa; Chordata; Mammalia; Rodentia; Muridae. The record is from RefSeq and is a predicted model, not a curated record. The transcript has 3 exons.
UUCCCUGGAUAAUGGGUUGCAAGCUGUAAGAUGAAAUGAACUUUCUUCCCCAAGUUGCUUUUGACCCUAGUGUCUUUUUCACUGUGAUAGAAACAUUAAGUGAGAUAAAAUGUGUAUGUCAUUAGCCACAACGUUAUUUUUAGGGGAUUAAAGUAACAUUUUAAUAUAAAUACAGAGACAGAAAACAAGAACCAGGUGGCUUCUUUCUAUUGUGACAAACCUCCCUUAAAUGCUGUCCUGAUCGUCACACAAUUUGCAAAGGAACAACUUUUUAAUGUACCAAGAUAUUUUAGGAUUGUUGUGAAGUUCUUUUUGUUUGUUUGUUUGUUUUUGCUUUAGGAAAUGAAAUCUUAAGAGACUUGAUGUUUGCUUAAAAUCUUUACGGUGACAUUUGGUUUGCAGUGGUGGAAAAUGUCAUGCCAAGAACAGAGAAGCAUCUCUGGGACAAGGGAAUGGAAGAAGAACCCAGAAGGCUGAUUGUGGAAUGUAUGCUUAUCACUCAGGGUUUGACAAAGGCCAGAAGAAGACAUUGGAGCCCUAGAGUCAACUUAAUGAUGGCUGUGACCCACCGUGUGGGUGCUGGGAACUGAAUCACGCACUCGGCAAGGGCAGCCAGCGCUCGUAACCACCAAGCCUUUUCUCUGGCUCCUGUGGAGGACUCUCACACAGCCCAGGCUGGAGUCGCUGUUGCUGCUUAUCCAAGGCUGGCCGUAUAACCCUGAGCCUCGCCUUUUGGUCCCUGGUGCUGGGAAUUACAGGCGAGCACCACCACAUCUAGCUUAAUAAAUGGCCUCUGCUUCUCUGAUA